Molecule: ribosomal RNA, 476 nt
Filed under: uncultured bacterium
Lineage: Bacteria
Description: bacterial SSU rRNA
Rfam family: Bacterial small subunit ribosomal RNA
Source: RNAcentral
AACGAACGCUGGCGGCAUGCCUAACACAUGCAAGUCGAACGAGACCUUCGGGUCUAGUGGCGCACGGGUGCGUAACGCGUGGGAAUCUGCCCUUGGGUUCGGAAUAACUUCGGGAAACUGAAGCUAAUACCGGAUGAUGACGUAAGUCCAAAGAUUUAUCGCCCAAGGAUGAGCCCGCGUAGGAUUAGCUAGUUGGUGAGGUAAAGGCUCACCAAGGCGACGAUCCUUAGCUGGUCUGAGAGGAUGAUCAGCCACACUGGGACUGAGACACGGCCCAGACUCCUACGGGAGGCAGCAGUGGGGAAUAUUGGACAAUGGGCGAAAGCCUGAUCCAGCCAUGCCGCGUGUGUGAAGAAGGUCUUCGGAUUGUAAAGCACUUUAAGUUGGGAGGAAGGGCAGUAACCUAAUACGUUGCUACUUUGACGUUACCGACAGAAUAAGCACCGGCUAACUUCGUGCCAGCAGCCGCGGUAAGU